Molecule: long non-coding RNA, 207 nt
Filed under: Phaseolus vulgaris (common bean)
Lineage: Eukaryota; Viridiplantae; Streptophyta; Magnoliopsida; Fabales; Fabaceae
Description: long non-coding RNA (PVUL_LNC000164)
Source: RNAcentral
CGAAUUCACCGAACAAAUUUCAAGCAAACAGCGAACGAUGGUUGCACCAGCAUACAACCACUCAGAAAACUUCGAAAACCUCCAAGAACUCACGCUGUGGAUGGGAGCAAGUUUUACACGGCCCCACGGUGGGCGCCUGAUGAUCCUGCCUGUUAACCAGAACGCUGGAAACUGCCUCGUCAAAGGAUCGACGUGUGCACCGCUUCG